Molecule: ribosomal RNA, 372 nt
Filed under: uncultured Methanolinea sp.
Lineage: Archaea; Methanobacteriati; Methanobacteriota; Methanomicrobia; Methanomicrobiales; Methanoregulaceae
Description: bacterial SSU rRNA
Rfam family: Archaeal small subunit ribosomal RNA
Source: RNAcentral
CUGCUUGACUAGCUGAGAGGAGGUGCAUGGCCGUCGUCAGUUCGUACUGUGAAGCAUCCUGUUAAGUCAGGCAACGAGCGAGACCCACGCCAACAGUUGCCAGCAUGUCCUCCGGGAUGAUGGGGACACUGUUGGGACCGCCUCUGCUAAAGAGGAGGAAGGGAAUGGGCAACGGUAGGUCAGCAUGCCCCGAAUUAUCCGGGCUACACGCGGGCUACAAUGGUCAGGACAAUGGGUAUCGACACCGAGAGGUGGAGGCAAUCUCCUAAACCUGUCCUUAGUUCGGAUUGUGGGCUGCAACUCGCCCACAUGAAGCUGGAAUCCGUAGUAAUCGCGUUUCAAAAUAGCGCGGUGAAUAUGUCCCUGCUCCUU